UACGGGGGGGGCAAGCGUUGUUCGGAAUGACUGGGCGUAAAGGGCUCGUAGGCGGCCAACUAAGUCAGACGUGAAAUCCCUCGGCUUAACCGGGGAACUGCGUCUGAUACUGGAUGGCUAGAGGUUGGGAGAGGGAUGCGGAAUUCCAGGUGUAGCGGUGAAAUGCGUAGAUAUCUGGAGGAACACCGGUGGCGAAGGCGGCAUCCUGGACCAAUUCUGACGCUGAUGAGCGAAAGCCAGGGGAGCAAACGGG
This 253-nucleotide ribosomal RNA is filed under the name uncultured bacterium. RNAcentral's name for it is "partial 16S ribosomal RNA". It matches the Rfam family "Bacterial small subunit ribosomal RNA", at positions 524 to 776 of the family's 1533-position model. The record is from RNAcentral.